AAAUAUGCAGUGGAGUCUGCUUCUUCUUAUUUUGAUGGGUCAGUGUAGUGCAGUGGUUUGUCAGCUCUAUGAGUAUCACUACAUUAAUGUUAAUAAGACCUGGACUGAAGCUCAGCAGUACUGCAGAGAGAAACACACUGACCUGGCCACAGUGACUAACAUGACAGACAUGAAGAGACUCCUCAGUAACUCAGCAGGAGAUAUGAGGGAAGCUUGGAUUGGUCUAUAUGAUCAAACAGGAGGUAACAGGACAUGGCGCUGGUCUCUGCCUGGAGUGGAGUUCAAUAAAAGUUACCAACCGUGGCAAGUAAAUGAGCCAAAUGAUGCAGGAGGGAUGCAGAACUGUGGAAUCAUAUGGAAGACCCUGAAGUGGGGAGACUUAGAAUGUCAGCGACCUGAAUUCUUUCUCUGCUAUAAUGACAGGAAUUCAUCAAAGAAAUUCCACUUGAUUCAAGAAAAGAAAAACUGGACAGAAGCUCAGAGUUACUGCAGGAAAGAACACACAGACCUAAUCAGUGGACUGACACAGCUCCAGGAUGAGGAGGUAAAGACAGAAUGCAGUUCUGUUGGA
This is a long non-coding RNA of Fundulus heteroclitus (mummichog), 571 nucleotides long. RefSeq lists it as uncharacterized. The transcript is spliced from 3 exons. The record is from RefSeq and is a predicted model, not a curated record. Lineage: Eukaryota; Metazoa; Chordata; Actinopteri; Cyprinodontiformes; Fundulidae.